AUGAAAAUUGUAAGUUGGAACUGCCGGGGACUGGGGAAUGGCCCGGCGGUUCGUUCUCUUCUCGACCUGGGAAGAGUGGAGGAGCCCGACAUUCUGUUUUUGUGCGAGACUAGGUUGGAGGAGAAGGAGUUGGGUCGUUUUAGAUGGCUGCUAGGGCUCACCCAAAUGUGCUCUUGGAAGGGGGAGGGGAGGAGUCGAGGGGUGGCAAUGUUUUGGAGGAAGGAGGUGGAUGUUACGUUGAGAUCGUUCGGGAGAAGGCACAUUGACAUUGAUGUAAGGAGGGAUGAUGGAUUGGUCUGGAGGCUUACUGGUGUGUACGGCGAGUCGAAGAUGGACAGGAAGAAAGAAACAUGGCGAAUGAUGCGCCUCCUGAAACAGCAACACCAGGGUGGAAGGCCUUGCCUUUGCCUUGUUGAUUUCAAUGAGAUCUUGACAAGUAUGGAGAAAGCAGGAGGGGCAGCCCGGCCACAACACUACCUGGACAGGGAAGCGCUACAAAUCUGCGGGCUGGGUGAUAUUGGCUUCGAGGGGGACAUUUUCACUUGGAGGAACCACAGUAAGGAACUACGAACAUAUAUUUGCAAGAGGUUGGAUAGGGCCACAUCGAAUUAG
Molecule: ribosomal RNA, 612 nt
Filed under: Triticum aestivum (bread wheat)
Lineage: Eukaryota; Viridiplantae; Streptophyta; Magnoliopsida; Poales; Poaceae
Description: partial small subunit ribosomal RNA
Source: RNAcentral